Molecule: ribosomal RNA, 253 nt
Filed under: uncultured bacterium
Lineage: Bacteria
Description: partial 16S ribosomal RNA
Rfam family: Bacterial small subunit ribosomal RNA
Source: RNAcentral
CACGUAGGGCGCGAGCGUUGUCCGGAAUUAUUGGGCGUAAAGAGCUCGUAGGCGGCCUGUUGCGUCCGCUGUGAAAGCCCGGGGCUUAACCCCGGGUCUGCAGUGGAUACGGGCAGGCUAGAGGUAGGUAGGGGAGAAUGGAAUUCCCGGUGUACCGGUGAAAUGCGCAGAUAUCGGGAGGAACACCGGUGGCGAAGGCGGUUCUCUGGGCCUUACCUGACGCUGAGGAGCGAAAGCGUGGGGAGCGAACAGG